GGGGCAGGGACCGGGGUGGGGGGAGGGGAGGGCAGGAGUAGGGACUCGAGGAAUCCGGGAGCGGCCAGGAGCUAGAAUUUGCCUCUGGAGUGUGACCCCUGGGGGUCCGAACUCAGCUUAGUCGGUUUACGUUGACUGACUUGUCUGAACCUCAGUUUGCUCACUUGUAAAAUGGGGAAUGUGUUGAGACCUCGCGAGGAAAGCGGACGCAAAGCGCUUGGCAAGGCGCGCAUGCGGUGCGCCAGAGGCUGCCGAGCCCGCCCAAGGCCGCCCUGCCCCGGCCCGCACCCUCACGGCGCCCGAGACCGGUUCUCUUCUAGAAGGUGUCUACGCCAUCGCUCCUUCCUCAGGCGCAGCGCCGCCGGACGUGGCGGCCAACGGCUCCUCCUGCGCCUCCCCACUGACAGCCCUGGUCUGCCCGAGCGUGCGCCCUCGCCCUUGCUCGCGUACCGGCUUCGCCAAGGGGGUCCUUUGUCCACCUCGACCUCCUCGGUGGCUGGAACCAGCCCGAUUCUGCCGCCUCCAGGAGGGAGGAGCCCGGGGGGUGGGGCGAGAAGCGGGACACCUCCCAGCUUCAUCCAGCGCCCAGGCUCUGAUCAGCCUCCCCAAGGUGCCAGCUGCGCCCAGUGCCAAGACAGGCCCACGGCCACUAACUGCUCUUGGCAACCGUCGAAGCGCCCAAGCAACCUCCGGUACGGGGCCUCAGGCCUCUUGCAAAUCUGAGAAAAUUUAGGCUCCUCCUUCCCUCCCCGCUCUGUCUCCUUUUCCCGGGUUAGCGGCGAGAGAUCAGCGGGAUCCCACAAAGCAGGUUCCGCCGCUAACAGAUCCUGGGACUCGAAGCCCAGUCUGGAACUUUUCUGAGGGCGGGAGGACCUGGGGUCAGACUGCAGCGAGCUCCCAGUCAGGGAAAACCGCUUGGACAAGCCGUGUCCCUCCAGGCCAGGGAAACAGAGGGUAGUCCGAGCGCUGGCGCGGGGAUGUGACAGAGGAGUCCACGCUGGGAACUGACUCGGCCGGGCACCGGAUCGCCCUCUUGACUCUGGAAUCUGCAUCGCCCCUCCUCCACUGUCUGCUUUUGGGGUGUCUUCCAAGACCCUCCCCAGUCCCCCUCUCCUCCUUACAAAUAGACGGGCAGAGAAGGGAAGCGUGCCUUCUCAGAAACUUAAAGGCAGAUUCCUUACUAUCUGAGCCACCAGGGAAGCCCAAGUUAAGUAUCCGCCAAAUGGCCAGGAAAGGCAGAAGGUUUGGGAAGUUACAAUCCCUGUGAGGACUCCAUCUCUUGGUUUAUUAUCUCCAUCCCUCUCUAGAAUGAGGUUCAUUGCUUUUGCACAAGAUGCCGAAAGGCUGGCAACGCAUGAAGGUGUCUGCUGUGUGUGUUCUGAGGCUGUGCAAGAUUAUUUAAAAAAAAACAACAACAACAAACUGGAGGAUAGUUGCUUUUCAACGUUGUGUUAGUUUCUGCUGUACAACAAUGUGAAUCAGCCUUUCACAUUAGGUCAUCUCAGCCCCGACACUGAGGAUGUGAGAAUUAUAGAAUUUCCCUGUAUGAAUAUGAAGAGUGGUGCUUAGAAGAAGGAAAGGGAAGCUCUUCCUUGGGAAGUGAUUGAAAACAAACACCAGAACCUGACAAUUUGUGCACACAGUUCCCUUCUGAUUUGUCUCUUCCAUUGGAGCAUCAUUAGUUAAAAUACCCAAGUUACAGGAUAUUAAGUGUGGCUUUCGGUUUAAAUACUUUAUUUCUAAAUUUGAAAAACUGGUUGUCAAGACACUUUAGUUGGACAAAGACUCAGAUGAUAAUAACAUCUGACUGCUUUUAAUUUCCAGCUAUCUUAAUUUUUGUUUUUUUAUUUUUAAUUGGAAGGUAAUUGUUUUACAAUGUUGUAUAGGUUUCUGCCACACAACAAUGCAAAUCAGCCAUAAGUGCGAGUGUAUGUGUGUGUGUGUGUGUGUAUAUAUAUAUAUAUAUAUAUAUAUAUAUAUAUAUACACACUUAUGGAUGUGUGCAUAUAGGAAGUGAAAGUUGCUCAGUCAUGUCCAACUCUUUACCACUCCAUGGACUGUAGCCCACCAGGCUCCUCUCUCCAUGGGAUUCUCC
This is a long non-coding RNA of Bos taurus (domestic cattle), 2095 nucleotides long. The record is from Ensembl. NCBI's taxonomy places the organism in Eukaryota, Metazoa, Chordata, Mammalia, Artiodactyla, Bovidae.